This 468-nucleotide ribosomal RNA is filed under the name uncultured bacterium. RNAcentral's name for it is "partial 16S ribosomal RNA". It matches the Rfam family "Bacterial small subunit ribosomal RNA", at positions 28 to 507 of the family's 1533-position model. The record is from RNAcentral.
GACGAACGCUGGCGGCGUGCUUAACACAUGCAAGUCGAACGGAAAGGCCCUGCUUUUGUGGGGUGCUCGAGUGGCGAACGGGUGAGUAACACGUGAGUAACCUGCCCUUGACUUUGGGAUAACUUCAGGAAACUGGGGCUAAUACCGGAUAGGAGCUCCUGCUGCAUGGUGGGGGUUGGAAAGUUUCGGCGGUUGGGGAUGGACUCGCGGGUUAUCAGCUGGUUGGUGGGGUAGUGGCUUACCAAGGCUUUGACGGGUAGCCGGCCUGGGAGGGUGACCGGCCACAUUGGGACUAAGAUACGGACCAGACUCCUACGGGAGGCAGCAGUGGGGAAUAUUGCACAGUGGGCGGAAGCCUGAUGCAGCAACGCCGCGUGCGGGAUGACGGCCUUCGAGUUGUAAACCGCUUUCGCCUGUGACGAAGCGUGAGUGACGGUAAUGGGUAAAGAAGCACCGGCUAACUACGUG